Molecule: ribosomal RNA, 1251 nt
Filed under: Acinetobacter baumannii
Lineage: Bacteria; Pseudomonadati; Pseudomonadota; Gammaproteobacteria; Moraxellales; Moraxellaceae
Description: bacterial LSU rRNA
Rfam family: Bacterial large subunit ribosomal RNA
Source: RNAcentral
ACUAGGCAAAAUGGUACCGUAACUUCGGGAGAAGGUACGCUGUUGUUGGUGAUGGAACUCGCUUCCUGAGCUGACGACAGCCGCAGAAACCAGGCCGCUGCAACUGUUUAUUAAAAACAUAGCACUCUGCAAACACGAAAGUGGACGUAUAGGGUGUGAUGCCUGCCCGGUGCUGGAAGGUUAAUUGAUGGGGUUAGCGUAAGCGAAGCUCUUGAUCGAAGCCCCAGUAAACGGCGGCCGUAACUAUAACGGUCCUAAGGUAGCGAAAUUCCUUGUCGGGUAAGUUCCGACCUGCACGAAUGGCAUAAUGAUGGCGGCGCUGUCUCCAGCAGAGGCUCAGUGAAAUCGAAAUCGCUGUGAAGAUGCAGUGUACCCGCGGCUAGACGGAAAGACCCGUGAACCUUUACUGCAGCUUGACACUGAACUUUGACCUUACUUGUGUAGGAUAGGUGGGAGGCUUUGAAGCUGGAACGCUAGUUCCAGUGGAGCCGUCCUUGAAAUACCACCCUGGUAAUGUUGAGGUUCUAACUCUGUCCCGUGAUCCGGGACGAGGACCGUGUCUGGUGGGUAGUUUGACUGGGGCGGUCUCCUCCUAAAGAGUAACGGAGGAGUACGAAGGUGCGCUCAGCGUGGUCGGAAAUCACGCGUAGAGUAUAAAGGCAAAAGCGCGCUUAACUGCGAGACCCACAAGUCGAGCAGGUACGAAAGUAGGUCUUAGUGAUCCGGUGGUUCUGUAUGGAAGGGCCAUCGCUCAACGGAUAAAAGGUACUCUGGGGAUAACAGGCUGAUACCGCCCAAGAGUUCAUAUCGACGGCGGUGUUUGGCACCUCGAUGUCGGCUCAUCUCAUCCUGGGGCUGAAGCAGGUCCCAAGGGUAUGGCUGUUCGCCAUUUAAAGAGGUACGCGAGCUGGGUUUAGAACGUCGUGAGACAGUUCGGUCCCUAUCUACCGUGGGCGCUGGAAAUUUGAGAGGAUCUGCUCCUAGUACGAGAGGACCAGAGUGGACGAACCUCUGGUGUACCGGUUGUGACGCCAGUCGCAUCGCCGGGUAGCUAUGUUCGGAAGGGAUAACCGCUGAAAGCAUCUAAGCGGGAAGCCUACCUCAAGAUAAGAUUUCCCUAGGACUUUAUGUCCUCUAAAGAGCCGUUCGAGACUAGGACGUUGAUAGGUUGGAUGUGGAAGCAUAGUGAUAUGUGAAGCUGACCAAUACUAAUUGCUCGUGAGGCUUGACUAUACAACACCCAAGCAGUUG